RNAcentral lists this transfer RNA (74 nucleotides) under Chitinophagaceae bacterium. RNAcentral's name for it is "tRNA-Asn". It matches the Rfam family "tRNA". From Rfam's summary of the family: Transfer RNA (tRNA) molecules are approximately 80 nucleotides in length. The record is from RNAcentral. RNAcentral also lists the same sequence under 2 other names. Lineage: Bacteria; Pseudomonadati; Bacteroidota; Chitinophagia; Chitinophagales; Chitinophagaceae.
UCCUCCUUAGCUCAGUUGGUUAGAGCACAUCACUGUUAAUGAUGGGGUCCUCCGUUCAAGUCGGAGAGGGGGAG